AUUGAACGCUGGCGGCAGGCCUAACACAUGCAAGUCGAACGGUAGCACAGAGGAGCUUGCUCCUUGGGUGACGAGUGGCGGACGGGUGAGUAAUGUCUGGGAAACUGCCCGAUGGAGGGGGAUAACUACUGGAAACGGUAGCUAAUACCGCAUAACGUCUUCGGACCAAAGUGGGGGACCUUCGGGCCUCACACCAUCGGAUGUGCCCAGAUGGGAUUAGCCAGUAGGUGGGGUAAUGGCUCACCUAGGCGACGAUCCCUAGAUGGUCUGAGAGGAUGACCAGCCACACUGGAACUGAGACACGGUCCAGACUCCUACGGGAGGCAGCAGUGGGGAAUAUUGCACAAUGGGCGCAAGCCUGAUGCAGCCAUGCCGCGUGUAUGAAGAAGGCCUUCGGGUUGUAAAGUACUUUCAGCGGGGAGGAAGGCGUUAAGGUUAAUAACCUUGGCGAUUGACGUUACCCGCAGAAGAAGCACCGGCUAACUCCGUGCCAGCCGCCGCCGUAA
RNAcentral lists this ribosomal RNA (506 nucleotides) under uncultured bacterium. RNAcentral describes it as "partial 16S ribosomal RNA". It matches the Rfam family "Bacterial small subunit ribosomal RNA", at positions 30 to 523 of the family's 1533-position model. The record is from RNAcentral.